AUAUCUCUCCGUACGGGAAGGAUGAGAAGCUUCGACCAAGGUUCGAUUCGAGCGCAGCGAGAAAGCGUUGCCGCAGGCAACGACCCGAAGGGCGAAG
RNAcentral lists this small RNA (97 nucleotides) under Salmonella enterica. RNAcentral describes it as "partial RtT sRNA". It matches the Rfam family "RtT RNA", at positions 1 to 96 of the family's 130-position model. From Rfam's summary of the family: This family represents a bacterial cis-regulatory element known as RtT RNA. The record is from RNAcentral. Lineage: Bacteria; Pseudomonadati; Pseudomonadota; Gammaproteobacteria; Enterobacterales; Enterobacteriaceae.